GCUCACUUGGUGGAAAUGGUAUACACGACAGACUUAAAAUCUGUUCCUUCUGGGAUACCGGUUCAAGUCCGGUAGUGAGCA
Molecule: transfer RNA, 81 nt
Filed under: Aliivibrio sp.
Lineage: Bacteria; Pseudomonadati; Pseudomonadota; Gammaproteobacteria; Vibrionales; Vibrionaceae
Description: tRNA-Leu
Rfam family: tRNA
About the family: Transfer RNA (tRNA) molecules are approximately 80 nucleotides in length. Their secondary structure includes four short double-helical elements and three loops (D, anti-codon, and T loops). Further hydrogen bonds mediate the characteristic L-shaped molecular structure. tRNAs have two regions of fundamental functional importance: the anti-codon, which is responsible for specific mRNA codon recognition, and the 3' end, to which the tRNAs corresponding amino acid is attached (by aminoacyl-tRNA synthetases). tRNAs cope with the degeneracy of the genetic code in two manners: having more than one tRNA (with a specific anti-codon) for a particular amino acid; and 'wobble' base-pairing, i.e. permitting non-standard base-pairing at the 3rd anti-codon position.
Source: RNAcentral